GUAAUGUGAAUUGCAGAUUUUCAGUGAAUCAUCGAAUCUUUCAACGCACCUUGCGCCCCUUGGUAUUCCGAGGGGCAUGCCUGUUUGAGUGUCAUU
RNAcentral lists this ribosomal RNA (96 nucleotides) under Leccinum scabrum. Its description in RNAcentral is "partial 5.8S ribosomal RNA". It matches the Rfam family "5.8S ribosomal RNA", at positions 62 to 154 of the family's 154-position model. Rfam says of the family: 5.8S ribosomal RNA (5.8S rRNA) is a component of the large subunit of the eukaryotic ribosome. It is transcribed by RNA polymerase I as part of the 45S precursor that also contains 18S and 28S rRNA. Functionally, it is thought that 5.8S rRNA may be involved in ribosome translocation. Lineage: Eukaryota; Fungi; Basidiomycota; Agaricomycetes; Boletales; Boletaceae. The record is from RNAcentral.